This 1433-nucleotide ribosomal RNA is filed under the name uncultured organism. RNAcentral's name for it is "16S ribosomal RNA". It matches the Rfam family "Bacterial small subunit ribosomal RNA". The record is from RNAcentral.
GAUGAACGCUAGCUACAGGCUUAACACAUGCAAGUCGACGGUCAUCAGGAAGAAAGCUUGCUUUCUUUGCUGGCGACCGGCGCACGGGUGAGUAACACGUAUCCAACCUGCCCUUUACUCGGGGAUAGCCUUUCGAAAGAAAGAUUAAUACCCGAUGGCAUAAUGAUUCCGCAUGGUUUCAUUAUUAAAGGAUUCCGGUAAAGGAUGGGGAUGCGUUCCAUUAGGUUGUUGGUGAGGUAACGGCUCACCAAGCCUUCGAUGGAUAGGGGUUCUGAGAGGAAGGUCCCCCACAUUGGAACUGAGACACGGUCCAAACUCCUACGGGAGGCAGCAGUGAGGAAUAUUGGUCAAUGGGCGCUAGCCUGAACCAGCCAAGUAGCGUGAAGGAUGAAGGCUCUAUGGGUCGUAAACUUCUUUUAUAUAAGAAUAAAGUGCAGUAUGUAUACUGUUUUGUAUGUAUUAUAUGAAUAAGGAUCGGCUAACUCCGUGCCAGCAGCCGCGGUAAUACGGAGGAUCCGAGCGUUAUCCGGAUUUAUUGGGUUUAAAGGGAGCGUAGGUGGACUGGUAAGUCAGUUGUGAAAGUUUGCGGCUCAACCGUAAAAUUGCAGUUGAUACUGUCAGUCUUGAGUACAGUAGAGGUGGGCGGAAUUCGUGGUGUAGCGGUGAAAUGCUUAGAUAUCACGAAGAACUCCGAUUGCGAAGGCAGCUCACUGGACUGCAACUGACACUGAUGCUCGAAAGUGUGGGUAUCAAACAGGAUUAGAUACCCUGGUAGUCCACACAGUAAACGAUGAAUACUCGCUGUUUGCGAUAUACAGUAAGCGGCCAAGCGAAAGCAUUAAGUAUUCCACCUGGGGAGUACGCCUGCAACGGUGAAACUCAAAGGAAUUGACGGGGGCCCGCACAAGCGGAGGAACAUGUGGUUUAAUUCGAUGAUACGCGAGGAACCUUACCCGGGCUUAAAUUGCAGUGGAAUGAUGUGGAAACAUGUCAGUGAGCAAUCACCGCUGUGAAGGUGCUGCAUGGUUGUCGUCAGCUCGUGCCGUGAGGUGUCGGCUUAAGUGCCAUAACGAGCGCAACCCUUAUCUUUAGUUACUAACAGGUCAUGCUGAGGACUCUAGAGAGACUGCCGUCGUAAGAUGUGAGGAAGGUGGGGAUGACGUCAAAUCAGCACGGCCCUUACGUCCGGGGCUACACACGUGUUACAAUGGGGGGUACAGAAGGCAGCUAGCGGGUGACCGUAUGCUAAUCCCAAAAUCCUCUCUCAGUUCGGAUCGAAGUCUGCAACCCGACUUCGUGAAGCUGGAUUCGCUAGUAAUCGCGCAUCAGCCACGGCGCGGUGAAUACGUUCCCGGGCCUUGUACACACCGCCCGUCAAGCCAUGGGAGCCGGGGGUACCUGAAGUACGUAACCGCAAGGAUCGUCCUAGGGUA